This 253-nucleotide ribosomal RNA is filed under the name uncultured bacterium. RNAcentral's name for it is "partial 16S ribosomal RNA". It matches the Rfam family "Bacterial small subunit ribosomal RNA", at positions 524 to 776 of the family's 1533-position model. The record is from RNAcentral.
UACGUAGGGGGCAAGCGUUGUCCGGAAUUAUUGGGCGUAAAGCGCUCGUAGGCGGUUUGUCGCGUCUGCUGUGAAAACCUGAGGCUCAACCUUGGGCUUGCAGUGGGUACGGGCAGACUAGAGUGCGGUAGGGGUGACUGGAAUUCCUGGUGUAGCGGUGGAAUGCGCAGAUAUCAGGAGGAACACCGAUGGCGAAGGCAGGUCACUGGGCCGCAACUGACGCUGAGGAGCGAAAGCAUGGGGAGCGAACAGG